RNAcentral lists this ribosomal RNA (376 nucleotides) under uncultured bacterium. RNAcentral's name for it is "partial 16S ribosomal RNA". It matches the Rfam family "Bacterial small subunit ribosomal RNA", at positions 338 to 732 of the family's 1533-position model. The record is from RNAcentral.
CCUACGGGCGGCUGCAGUGGGGGAUAUUGCACAAUGGAGGAAACUCUGAUGCAGCGACGCCGCGUGAGGGAAGACGGUCUUCGGAUUGUAAACCUCUGUCUUUGGGGAAGAAAAUGACGGUACCCAAAGAGGAAGCUCCGGCUAACUACGUGCCAGCAGCCGCGGUAAUACGUAGGGUGCGAGCGUUGUCCGGAAUUACUGGGUGUAAAGGGGGCGUAGGUGGGCGAGAAAGUUGGAGGGAAAAUCUAUCGGCUAAACUGGUAGCUGCGGUUGAAACUGCUAGUCUUGAGUGGAGGAGAGGCAUGCGGAAUGCGUGGUGUAGCGGUGAAAUGCGUAGAUAUUAGGAAGAACACCAGUGGCGAAGGCAGCCUGCUGG